GCGAGCCCGGCCGUGGGCAGCGCUGGCCUUCGGCCGCUCGGCUCGUGUGCUGCGGGAGAGCCGCGCUUUGAGGUGGGGUUUGGCAGGACGGGCGGCCGUGCUGCUUUACUCCUCCCAUCAUCUCGCAGCGAUGCCGGCCACGGACUCCUCCGAACUGAGCAAAGCGGAGGUGCCGCUCCCGCUGGGCACCCUGACGAAAGGUGGUGCUACGGACAGCAGCGAGAGUGAUGUGGAGUGGGAAGGUGAACGGCGUGGCUGGGUCUCUCCAAGCGGUGUUCCUGCUGUGGGGAAGACGUGAGACUACUGUAUUUGCCGGCCGAGGUGAUGUGAGGGUUGUCAGCCCCUGCUUUGCCACGAGUACCUUUCCAGGCUUCCACACUGACCCUUACACAGAGCAGGUUACCUUCAUCUAACAUGUUAUAAAAUACAAUAAUUUAAUAAUUCAAGACCUGUCAUGGCAAAAAUUGUUAAACAUUUUGAAAUAUUUUAUGCUUUCAUAGUUCAGUAAGUAGCAGUCUAAAUUAAGUUUCUAAAUAUAGUAAUUAAAAAAAGGAAGAGUGUGGGGAUUUAUCCAGUAGCCUUAACAAAGUGCCAUUUUUAACCUUCAAGUACAUACAAAUUAGUUUUCUUCUGAACAUCACAUUCUGCUGAGAACAUUCUUGCUGUAAAAUCACCUCAGUUGGUACAAGUUGCCCAAGGGGCUGGGCAGAGCCUGGGGAUACUCGUGUCCCUGGGGACAAGGUGUUUCCGUGGGCAGGGUCCUGGGGGACAGAGGGCUGGCAGCGGUGCCAGGCUGUGCGGGCACGGCUGCCUCGCCUGGCUGCCGGCCUUCCCGCUUCCCAGGCGCGAAGGCGGCAACUGCUGGAAGCAGGAGCUGGCACGUUAGGAGUGAUGGAACUCAAGGAAACAAAUACUGGGGGAGAGCCGUGAGACAGAGUGAUUUUUAAGGCUGACAUGGUUCUUUGUUGCAAUUCGGGGCAGCUUUUGUACAGUUGGAGCAUCUGGUUGUUAACUCCUCACUUGGUCCUCUUACUCCUUGGCUUAAUCCCAGACGUGAAGCUGGCUGUGCUCUCCUGGGGACGAGGGGACAACCUGUUAGAAGCAGACGUGGUUCUGAUUCCCUUGGAAGAAGCACAAAAGGAGAUGUUCUGUUCUUUGAAAAUAACUGGAGCCACUGGCAAGAAGCAGCGACACUGCAUCGAACAAGGGAACCACUUCCAGGUUAUCAAAACAUGCUGUUGAACUGAAUUUUGCAGCUGCAUUUUCCAAUGUACCAUGGGAUGCAUCAAAUCCAAGGCUGCCUUCCAAGGUUCCAACGCUGUCCAGGAUGAGAGGAUCGGGGGAGGCGGCGAGGGCUGCGCUGGGGAGAAGUCGUCGCUGCUGGCGGUGCAGGCGGAGGAGAAGGGCCCCUCGAGCACCAUCGUGCUGGACUACGCGCAGCGGCUGUCGCGCGAGAUCCUGGAGCAGGCGGUCAAGCAGUGGGCGGUGACCGAGAGCAAGUACAGCGACAUCCCCUUCAUCGAGAGCGACGUGCCCUGAGCUCUCCGGGGCCUGAGUGUGCUCUGUGCGUGUGCCAGUGCAGAGGAAGCACCCCCAGCUGCCCUCUGAGCAUCACUGUGGGGAGGGGUCUGCAGGGAGAGCCUGAGAAAAGUUGCCCUGUAGCGUAGGGUGCUAACAAACUGAUUGGAUCGCAGUAGAACCCGUUCAUCGAGUGUCAUUUGUUGUCAGCCAUGCAUUGAGUAUACUCUGUCUUUGUAUGUGUUGGAUGUGACCAGAAAUAAGCGUUAAAAGGAUGAGAAGACUGUGGCUGCCCUGCACCUCUACAAACACUGCCACAGAGGACAAAACGUGGAUCAUUUCUAUGUUCUGCAUAAAAGAUCAGUGAUCUGUCUGUAGGUGGGAUGAACUCUCUGUGCUUGGUGAAUUUGUGUGUGUUUCGCUGAAAUUAAAUCAAGGUCUGCAUGUAGCAAAGGUUACUGCCAUCAUAAAUUUUACUUUUGAUUCUGUGACCUAACGGAAUCUGUAAGAUCACAAAAUGAAGGUGAUAGGAGGCACUUUGUAAACCCCAGUAGUAUUCAGGGAGCCAUUUGGAUGAUGAUGCUAUUCACCUUCCAUUGAAGUGAACCAGGGAGAAACAUGCCAGUGUUGAUAAGCAGUGCAUUAUCAUUAACAGAUGCUUCUGUAAAUGCAUGAAAGCUUUUCUCUAAAAGCCUGCAGUAAGAUGGGUUAAUGACAUCUGGUCACUGCAUUCAGACCAAAGCUGUUUGGUUUUUUGAUUUUGUUUGGGGAUUUUUUGUUAGGGUGCCAGUUUGGGAGGAUUUGGUUUUGUUGUUUUACCAGAGAGAUGUGCAAAAACUACUGAUGGUAGCUAGUGAAAAGAACCUUCAAAG
RNAcentral lists this long non-coding RNA (2390 nucleotides) under Taeniopygia guttata (zebra finch). RNAcentral's name for it is "lncRNA (ENSTGUG00000022115.1)". The record is from RNAcentral. Lineage: Eukaryota; Metazoa; Chordata; Aves; Passeriformes; Estrildidae.